AGAGUUUGAUCAUGGCUCAGAGCGAACGCUGGCGGCAGGCUUAACACAUGCAAGUCGAGCGGGCAUCCUUGUGGUGUCAGCGGCAGACGGGUGAGUAACGCGUGGGAACGUGCCCUUCGGUUCGGAAUAACUCAGGGAAACUUGAGCUAAUACCGGAUACGCCCUUCUGGGGAAAGGCUUGCUGCCGAAGGAUCGGCCCGCGUCUGAUUAGCUGGUUGGUGAGGUUACGGCUCACCAAGGCGACGAUCAGUAGCUGGUCUGAGAGGAUGAUCAGCCACACUGGGACUGAGACACGGCCCAGACUCCUACGGGAGGCAGCAGUGGGGAAUAUUGGACAAUGGGGGCAACCCUGAUCCAGCCAUGCCGCGUGAGUGAUGACGGCCUUAGGGUUGUAAAGCUCUUUUCUCCGGGACGAUAAUGACGGUACCGGAGGAAUAAGCCCCGGCUAACUUCGUGCUAGCCGCCGCGGUAAUUC
RNAcentral lists this ribosomal RNA (475 nucleotides) under uncultured bacterium. RNAcentral describes it as "bacterial SSU rRNA". It matches the Rfam family "Bacterial small subunit ribosomal RNA", at positions 8 to 526 of the family's 1533-position model. The record is from RNAcentral.